UUAUGUGGGGUUGCAUGUGUGCUGCUUCAGUGUGUGAUGUGGAAGCUUGAAGUUUCACUCUCUGCUUUCUAUAUUGCUUGCUAGUCAUCUCGGAAAAGGUGAGAGGUUGGGGCUGGAGAGUGUCAAUAAAUAUGGAGUGAAGAGGAGGAGGGCAGUAACGUAUCCAGUUCCUCCCGUUGGUUUGCAUUCCUACCUGAACUCAGAGGUGCAAAAGCAAGUGAAGGUGUGUGUACAGCUCUCUCGAAAACAAGGUUCAUCACAGAAGUAAAAUAACGAGCAAGUUUUCUACAUGUCCUCCUUAUCGUCAGUGUAUGAACCUGGUGGUUUAACUGUCAGAAAUGAAGAGCAGACUGACUUCAGUUACAGGCUCAUAAAGCCUUUUGCUUGUAUUACAAAGGUUUUUACUGCUGCUCGUAAACACUUACUGCAUAAAUAAUUCUGUGUUUAUGCGUCCAAACUGGAAGCAUCUUGUCUCAGCAAUGCCCACACGUUGCAUACUUGCCCUGCUUUAUCUCAAACUUGUUUAGAAGAAUUCUUCAGUUCCUCUCAGAUACUUGGCUUGAUAGCACUUCUGCUAUAGGUAGUUUCCUAACAGUUGCAAAUCAUUUCUCCGAACCCAUCUUUUCAUUGGUAUUUAUUCUGUGUUUCUGCUGUUCUGUAUUCCUGCCCUCCCCUUUGCUCCCCAUCACCUUUUUGCAGAAAACCAGUGAGAGCUGGGCUGUGUGCUUGGCUUUCAUUGAUCACCCAUGGCUGCUCUUUGUGUCUGCCUUUGUCUGGGUCUCAUCCCAACUGUUGUCAAAUCUCAGAAUGCAAGAUCAUGUCAGAAGCAGCAUUUGAAAAGGAUGUAUUUUUUAAUCAUGGCAUGUAAUGUCAUCCAUGAUGCAGAAACCUCUCAGGAUGAUAGAGAAGACACUGUUCACCACCUGAGAAAUUGCAGGCUCGUACAGCUCUCUGCACAUGAAUGUUUUUCUAGGCGGCUGGAUUCCAAUCCAGGGAAACACAUUCCCUUUUGGAAUGCAAAAAAACCAUGAGGUCUCAGGGUCUUAUUUUGCACUAAGUCACCUGGUUGUUGGCUUUUUCAUAAUCACAGAAUGGUUUUGGUUGGAAGGGACCUUAAAGUUCAUCUAGUUCAAACCUGCCUGCUAAGGGCAGGGGCACCUUCCACUAGACCAGGUUGCUCAAAAUAGUGAAAACCUAGUGCAGCUCCUGGCUCUGAGGUGCAGUGGCAUCCUGUGCUUCCAUCCGUCCUGUCCACUUGGGAUCGUAGAGCAUAUCAGCCCAGCUUGACUUUGUCUCGAGUAACAGGCCCAUCAGCCUCUGUAAAGCUGCUACAGGCUUCAGCUCUGAAGAUUUCAGCUGUGCACAGUUGGAGUGUUUUCUGCAGCUCUUUGGCACCGGUGAGAUUGCAGGAGCUGUUGGGUUCUGCCAGUGCUGCUCUUGUGGCUCCAGACUGCCUUGUGCACAGAGGACCUUGAUGAAAGAUCUUCAGCCUUCCAGAUACGGAGCCUGCCAGUCUUGUGACCUCCCAUGUGGGGUUGUGUGGAGAAGAUGUCCUUGAUCUUACCACUUGGUUGGGAGUUGCUGCAUUCUCCUAGCUGUGUCAGAGGGCUUUCUUCAUCUAGAGAAACUCGGGGGUUUCAGUGUUCCAGUCUUCCAAAACAAUUUCCUCAAGGAGAGGUUGAAAGUAUGGCCAUGACUGCAAAACUGCAUGCCUGUUUUAGUGAAUCAAGAUCUGUUGUGCCAGGAAGGCAAAUAGUUGUGAGGGAUCUUUUUCAUUGUUAUGAUACUUUUCUGUAGCUGUUCUGGGCAAUUUCUCUGGUAUUUGGGAGAUAGUGACAAAAAACAUGUCAUUGGUUUGUCUUGCUACAUUUGAAAUGGAGAACACCAUGUUUUACAUCAGGAGGUGUGAAGAUGCACAGUAAUCCUGUCUCUGCUAAGAAGCCAGCCUUUAGAAUUAGUACAAGCGUUUCCAGCUGCACCUUUGGCAGGAUGUGUGGUGGGCAUUGGAGAACCUGAAUGGACACACUCAGCUUUCAUUUGUCUGAACUGGAGUAGGAAAUGGAGUGAUUUAUCCUAGGCAAAAGUCUGGUUUUGGUGGGUAGUGACCUCAUCUCAACAUGUGCCUGGUUUUGUGUCGUCUUUUCUCUUAAUAACUAGUUAUUUUCUCUUAAUAAGUAGUUUCUAAAUGAUCUUUUUUUCUUUAUUCUUUUUCCAGCACCAUAGUUCCCCUGCUUUAACCUGACCAGCAUGGUUUUAGGUGUUGGCCCACUACUUCCAUCUAUGUUAUGCCAUGUUUAAAAAUGAUCAUCCUCCUCCUUGUUGUGGAUGCUGAGUUUAACUAUAAGCAUUCCUGCUCCACAGAGUAGCAAGAUGAUGUUUAUCAGACAAAUUGGUUGGCUUAAAUGGAUUUAGUGAAAGA
Molecule: long non-coding RNA, 2419 nt
Organism: Strigops habroptila (Kakapo)
Lineage: Eukaryota; Metazoa; Chordata; Aves; Psittaciformes; Psittacidae
Exons: 2
Source: RefSeq, a predicted model, not a curated record